AUCGAUGAAAGAAUGGCACAAGUCUUUAAAGGAAUGGAUAGAUGCCAGCCUCAAACUCAAGUUGAAGAGAAAGAAAACUAUUUCUCUUCAGAUGACCCGAGUUGCAUCUAAAAUUUUUUUUAUUAAUCUACAUAAAUAAGGAUCAAGUCCUUACUUGAUUAGCAAUGAAAUCAGAGAUCAAAUCUCAAAUAACCUGAAUAAAAUCUUCAUGAAGGCCUGAAAAUACAGAUCCUCUACUUCGCAUGCAC
Molecule: long non-coding RNA, 248 nt
Filed under: Elaeis guineensis (African oil palm)
Lineage: Eukaryota; Viridiplantae; Streptophyta; Magnoliopsida; Arecales; Arecaceae
Description: long non-coding RNA (EGUI_LNC056728)
Source: RNAcentral